This 348-nucleotide transfer-messenger RNA is filed under the name Lachnospiraceae. RNAcentral's name for it is "NK4A144 sp900168235 Standard tmRNA". It matches the Rfam family "transfer-messenger RNA". From Rfam's summary of the family: Bacterial tmRNA, also known as 10Sa RNA or SsrA, is named for its dual tRNA and mRNA-like properties. Its role is to liberate the mRNA from a stalled ribosome. Lineage: Bacteria; Bacillati; Bacillota; Clostridia; Lachnospirales. RNAcentral also lists the same sequence under 1 other name. The record is from RNAcentral.
GGGGUAGUACUGGUUUCGACAGGGGUCUUGCAGCUGGAGAAGCUAUCCGAAGGACGGUCGCGUUAAACCUCAAACCUAAAUUUAAACGCAAACGAUAAUUACGCGUUAGCAGCAGCCUAACGGCCACUGCCGUUGGCCCGGUUCUACCCAUGGUCCCGGUUCCCAACGUCAUCAUCAUGGGAAACGACAUCCGCAAAGCUUUGAGCUGAUGGGCGUAAUAUGAAGCUACUAAAACCGCAAGACUGUGCUUCGCCGUGCGGCAGAGGGAAUGUUAAUAGAAGUACUAUGAUAGUAGAAGUACAGGGAAUAGGCUUUUGGACACGGGUUCGACUCCCGUCUACUCCACUA